GUUUCACAAGAUUUUGGUAGGUAAAACUUGGCUCUUGAUUGAUAAUUUUUAAUUGUAAAAGUUUUUAAUAUUUUGGUAUAAAGGCGAGUGUCUUGAUUUAUCGUUUUAAAAUAAAUGUAUUUGAUCUUUUAAAAUGAUUGUUCCUUGGCACUUAGUUAAACCCUCAUUUGGCUUGGAGGAGCAAAAUAAAACUACUUUAGCCUAUCGAGUUGUCCCAUGUAAAUUGUUUGUUGGUGGAGAAAUAUGGGUGCCUUGGUUCAUGAUUUUAAAAGUUCAAGUCUUUUUUCGUUUGGUAUGAAAUAAUGCUUUUUCAGUGUCUCAUACUGGAAGUAUGUUAUUUUUGUAUUUGAGAAUGGGACAAUUUAUUAUUUGGAGGGAGAUAUCACUUGAUCCAUUAUUGCAAAGUAAAUUUGUUUUUUCUUUUCAACUUAAACGUUUUUUUGCAUCUAAGAAAGUGUUCCUCAAUUUCUUGGGUCGAAAUAAAACCGUUUUACUUCUUCGGACAACAUAUAUUAGCAGGUUUUUCUUCCCAAAAUUUGAUUUCUUUAGUUUAUUAUAUUGAAUAUAAAAGUUUCACAAGAUUUUGGUAGGUAAAACUUGACUCUUGAUUUAUAAUUUUUAAUUGUAAAAGUUUUUAAUAUUUCUGUAUAAGAGUAAGUGUCUUGAUUUUUUGUAUUAAAAUAAAUAUACUUGAUCUUUUAAAAUUAUUGUUCCCUGUCACUUAGUUAAACCCUCUUUGGCUUAGUGGAGCAAAAUAAAACUACUUUAGCCUAUUGGGUUGUCCUGUGUAAAUUGUUUGUUGGUCGAGAAAUAUAGGUGCCUUGGUUCAUGGUUUUAAAAGUUCAAGUCUCUUUUCGUUUGAUAUGAAAUAAUGCUUUUUCAAUGUCCCAUACUGGAAGUUUGUUACUUUUGUAUUUGAGAAUGGGACAAUUUAUUAUUUGGAGGGAGAUAUCACUUGAUCCAUUAUUGCAUAGUAAAUUGGUUUUUUCUUUUCAACUUAAACGUUUUUUUGCAUCUAAGAAAGUGUUCCUCAAUUUCUUGGGUCGAAAGAAAACCGUUCUACUUAUUCGGACAACAUAUAUUAGCAGGUUUUUCUUCUCAUAAUUGGAGUUCUUUGGUUUAUUAUUUUGAAUAUAAAAGUUUCACAAGAUUUUGGUAGGUAAAACUUGGCUCUUGAUUUAUAAUUUUUAAUUGUAAAAGUUUUUAAUAUUUUGAUAUAAAAGCGAGUGUCUUGAUUUAUCGUUUUAAAAUAAAUGUAUUUGAUCUUUUAAAAUGAUUGUUCCUUGGCACUUAGUUAAACCCUCAUUUGGCUUGGUGGAGCAAAAUAAAACUACUUUAGCCUAUCGAGUUGUCCCGUGUAAAUUGUUUGUUGGUCGAGAAAUAUGGGUGCCUUGGUUCAUGAUUUUAAAAGUUUAAGUCUUUUUUCGUUUGAUAUGAAAUAAUGCUUUUUCAGUGUCUCAUACUGGAAGUUUGUUACUUUCGUAUUUGAGAAUGGGUCAAUUUAUUAUUUGGUUGAAGAUAUCACUUGAUCCAUUAUUGCAAAAUAAAUUGGUUUUUUCCUUUCAACUUAAACGUAUUUUUGCAUCUAAGAAAGUGUUCCUCAAUUUCUUGGGUCGAAAUAAAACCGCUCUACUUCUUCGGACAACAUAUAUUAGCAGGUUUUUCUUCCCAAAAUUUAAGUUCUUUAGUUUAUUAUUUUGAAUAUAAAAGUUUCACAAGAUUUUGGUAGGUAAACCUUGGCUCUUGAUUUAUAAUUUUUAAUUGUAAAAGUUUUUAAUAUUUUGGUAUAAAAGCGAGUGUCUUGAUUUAUCGUUUCAAAAUAUGUACUUGAUGUUUUAAAAUUAUUGUUCCUUGGCACUUAGUUAAACCCUCUUUUGGCUUAGUUGAGCAAAAUAAAACUGCUUUAGUCUAUUGGGUUGUCACGUGUAAAUUGUUUGUUGGUCAAGAUAUGUGGGUGCCUUAGUUCAUUGUUUUAAAAGUUCAAGUCUCUUUUCGUUUGGUAUGAAAUAAUUCUUUUUC
RNAcentral lists this long non-coding RNA (2019 nucleotides) under Carica papaya (papaya). RNAcentral describes it as "long non-coding RNA (CPAP_LNC009731)". Lineage: Eukaryota; Viridiplantae; Streptophyta; Magnoliopsida; Brassicales; Caricaceae. The record is from RNAcentral.